RNAcentral lists this ribosomal RNA (764 nucleotides) under uncultured Actinomycetes bacterium. RNAcentral describes it as "bacterial SSU rRNA". It matches the Rfam family "Bacterial small subunit ribosomal RNA", at positions 1 to 745 of the family's 1533-position model. The record is from RNAcentral. Lineage: Bacteria; Bacillati; Actinomycetota; Actinomycetes.
AGGCANGCCAGCUUGUUGCCUGCGUCAACACUUCUGAGGGAACCAGAGUUUGUUACUCGCUCAGGACGAACGCUGGCGGCGUGCUUAACACAUGCAAGUCGAACGGUAAGGCCCUUCGGGGUACACGAGUGGCGAACGGGUGAGUAACACGUGAGUAACCUGCCCCGGACUCUGGGAUAAGCAUUCGAAAGGGUGUCUAAUACUGGAUAGGACUCCUGCCUGCAUGGGUGGGGGUGGAAAGAUUUUUUGGUUCGGGAUGGGCUCGCGGCCUAUCAGCUUGUUGGUGGGGUGAUGGCCUACCGAGGCGUCGACGGGUAGCCGGCCUGAGAGGGCGACCGGCCACACUGGGACUGAGAUACGGCCCAGACUCCUACGGGAGGCAGCAGUGGGGAAUAUUGCGCAAUGGGCGGAAGCCUGACGCAGCAACGCCGCGUGCGGGAUGACGGCCUUCGGGUUGUAAACCGCUUUCACCCAUGACGAAAAUUUUUUUGACGGUAGUGGGAGAAGAAGCACCGGCCAACUACGUGCCAGCAGCCGCGGUGAUACGUAGGGUGCGAGCGUUGUCCAGAAUUAUUGGGCGUAAAGAGCUUGUAGGCGGUUUGUCGCGUCGGAAGUGAAAACUCGGGGCUUAACUUCGAGCUUGCUUCCGAUACGGGCUGACUAGAGGAAGUUAGGGGAGAACGGAAUUCCUGNUGNAGCGGUGGAAUGCGCAAAUAUCANGAGGAACACCGGUGGCGAAGGCGGUUCUCUGGGACUUUCUGACG